AUCUUUUCUCCUUGAUAUUUAUUUAAUGAUGUCACGUUGUUUAUUCUACAGAAUUUUCCAGUCUGCAAUUUGUUGAAUGCAUCCCUGUGGUGCCGUUUGACAUGAUCCUCUGUCCUCUGUAUUUCCUGCCAAUUGGUAGUUGGACCUAGAGCCAGAUUCCCUUUCGAUGUUAUGUAUUUACUGCUUCCCAGGCCCUUAGGGGUCUAUGCAGAUAGUAAUGGGGGAUGUGAAUCACUUGUCAGUAUUUUAAAGUACUUCAUAUUUUCAGCUACUAAUAUAAGCUAACAACAUCGUCCAUUUUCUUUGAUUUUGCCUAGAAUCACAUCAUCUCAUUGAGAUAAACCAGAUAUUUCAUGCAGUCUUCAGCCUGGCAAACAGCUAUUACGGACAAUGUGGAAGGAAGGUGGUGGAAAAUGAACUUUACAGAUUGCCCUCAGUCAUUAGCGAAAGUCACAAAGUCCAUAGAAGGCAGGACGUCAGUGGACAGGUGGUCCAGGUCGCCUGUGGUCAGGACCAUAGUCUGUUCCUAACGGAUAAAGGAGAAGUCUAUUCUGGUGGAUGGGGCGCAGCUGGGCAAACAGAAGGACAUGUUUUUGUCUGAGGCUACGGAAUUCUUGGCAAAGGACCAAACCUAGUGGAAACUGCUCUUCCGGAAGUGAUUCCACCCACUCUCUUCAGCUUGAUGGAGUUCAACCCAGAAGUCCAGGUUUCCCGCAUUUGCUGUGGACUCAGCCGCGUUGCUCCUCUUACCAGUAAGUGGCCAAGCCCGUGUGGCCCCAGUGACGGGCCGAGCUGCAUUCUCUUAGGUUCACCCCAAGCCGUGGGCAGCUUUCAGUGUCCAUCCAUCCAGUGGAGGGGCGCCCCACGUGGAUAAUUACAGAGAGCAGCUCAUCCAGACGUUGUUUGGCUUGAAGUUGUAUAAUGUGUGUCUUUUUUCAUCCUGGAGUUUUGUUUUUGGUUCCUUUGGUUUGUGGUUGGGCUCAUGUGAA
Long non-coding RNA from Diceros bicornis minor, 989 nucleotides. RefSeq lists it as uncharacterized. Lineage: Eukaryota; Metazoa; Chordata; Mammalia; Perissodactyla; Rhinocerotidae. The record is from RefSeq and is a predicted model, not a curated record. The transcript is spliced from 5 exons.